CUCCAGGAGCUGCAAGCUGACAAACUAUUUUUUUGUCCUGAGCCCAGUUUAACACUGCGGUCAGUUUAACGAUCUGUUGACCCACAUCGGUACCGAUAUCUCCAGCCAGAACACCAACUACAGAUGGUCAAUUUCAGCUAAAGAGCUCCUGUCCAUCUGUUUCAGGUUAGAGGGCAAUAUUCAAGAAACCGUCAAGUGGAAAAAUGAGUCUCUCCGACUGGUUGACGCCACGUGUCGAGCAACAACAGUUCAAUUUUGAACUCCAGCGUCGGCUGCUUUGAACGCACUGCAUGCACGAAAAAUGCUCUGCCGCUACCUUCCGUUUCAUUGUGCACGGACUACAUGUGCCGCGAGACCCCUAGAGGCGCGCCCACCAUAGACUUUGCAUGUAAACUGGCUGCUCAUGCAGCUCAAAAUGCGUUCGGUGUGAACGUAACAUAAAGGCUGUGGGGCGCUAAAGGCUCUAAAGUUUUUGAGGCUUUAAAGGCUGCAAAGGAUGUGGGGUUUUAAAGGUUUGGGGGCUCUAAAGUCUAAAGUUUCUGAGCCUCUAAAUACUGCAAAGGUUGUGGGCCUCUAAAUGUUUGGGGUCCAUAAAGGUUCUAAAGGUUCUAAGGCUCUAAAGGUUCUGAGGUUCUAAAGACUCUAAGGCUCUAAAGGUUCUAAGGUUCUAAAGGUUCUAAGGCUCUAAAGGUUCUGAGGCUCUAAAGGCACUAAAGAUUCUGAGGCUCUAAAGGUUCUAAGGCUCUAAAGGUUCUGAGGCUCUAAAGGCACUAAAGAUUCUGAGGUUCUAAAGGUUCUAAGGCUCUAAAGGUUCUGAGGCUCUAAAGGCUCUAAAGGUUCUGAGGCUCUAAAGACUCUAAGGCUCUAAAGGUUCUAAGGUUCUAAAGGUUCUAAGGCUCUAAAGGUUCUGAGGCUCUAAAGGCACUAAAGAUUCUGAGGCUCUAAAGGUUCUAAGGCUCUAAAGGUUCUGAGGCUCUAAAGGUUCUAAGGUUCUAAAGGUUCUAAGGCUCUAAAGGUUCUGAGGCUCUAAAGACUCUAAGGCUCUAAAGGUUCUAAGGUUCUAAAGGUUCUAAGGCUCUAAAGGUUCUGAGGCUCUAAAGGCACUAAAGAUUCUGAGGCUCUAAAGGUUCUAAGGCUCUAAAGGUUCUGAGGCUCUAAAGGUUCUAAGGUUCUAAAGGUUCUAAGGCUCUAAAGGUUCUGAGGCUCUAAAGACUCUAAGGCUCUAAAGGUUCUAAGGUUCUAAAGGUUCUAAGGCUCUAAAGGUUCUGAGGCUCUAAAGGCACUAAAGAUUCUGAGGCUCUAAAUGUUCUGAGGCUCUAAAGGCACUAAAGAUUCUGAGGCUCUAAAUGUUCUGAGGCUCUAAAGGUUCUGAGGCUCUAAAGGCACUAAAGGUUCUGAGGCACUAAAGGUUCUGAGGCUCUAAAGGCACUAAAGGUUCUGAAGCUCUAAAGGUUCUGAGGCUCUAAAGGUUCUGAGGCUCUAAAGACUAAAGGUUCUGAGGCUCUAAAAGUUCUAAAGAUUCUGAGGCUCUAAAGGUUCUGAGACUCUAAAGGCACUAAAGGUUCUGAGGCUCUAAAGUUUCUGAGGCUCUAAAGGUUCUGAGGCUCUAAAGACUCUAAAGUUUCUGAGGCUCUAAAGACUCUAAAGGUUCUGAGGCUCUAAAGGCACUAAAAGUUCUGAGGCUCUAAAGGCUCUAAAGGUUCUGAGGCUCUGAAGGUUCAGGGGCUCUAAAGGUUCAGAGGCUCUAAAGGCACUAAAAGUUCUGAGGCUCUAAAGGCACUAAAAGUUCUGAGGCUCUAAAGGCUCUAAAUGUUCUAAGGCUCUAAAGGUUCUGAGGCUCUAAAGGUUCAGAGGCUCUAAAGGCUCUGAGGCUCUGAAGGUUCAGGGGCAUGUGUGCUCAUAUCUUUGUAGGAGCGUUAAUGUGCUGCAGUCCAGAACCAACACGUCCUUGUCCACACAGGACCCAGUAAGGACAUCCUUCAGAACGUCCCCCUGAGACAGGAUUUGGACUGACGAGCGAGUGGCGUUAACGGAGAGCAGAACAAAUCCCCCGACUCGUCUGGAGAGGCUCCCACGCUCAUUAAUUCACUUCAAGGAGAGGAAAUGAAUAAUAAACACCACUUUCAAGGUUCUGAGUCUCUGAGCUCAGAUCCUCCCACCCAGAACCACUCAGACCCAGAUCAGACCUGGGUUUGCUCAGAGAGGACCCAGGUCGCUCUUUGA
Austrofundulus limnaeus is the source of this 2223-nucleotide long non-coding RNA. RefSeq lists it as uncharacterized. The transcript has 3 exons. NCBI's taxonomy places the organism in Eukaryota, Metazoa, Chordata, Actinopteri, Cyprinodontiformes, Rivulidae. The record is from RefSeq and is a predicted model, not a curated record.